This is a long non-coding RNA of Herpailurus yagouaroundi (jaguarundi), 4258 nucleotides long. RefSeq lists it as uncharacterized. The record is from RefSeq and is a predicted model, not a curated record. The transcript is spliced from 2 exons. Lineage: Eukaryota; Metazoa; Chordata; Mammalia; Carnivora; Felidae.
CCCUUCCCCUGAGCCUCGGGGCGCUGUCACUUGGGGACGGGGAGGCUGGGGUGCUUACCCGGGAAGGGCGUGCGGAUUGAGGGGCGUGCCUGUGUGUGUGUCGCGGUGGUGAGAUCGUACAUGGGGGUCCGGAGGGGAAGAGCGUGCCAGAUGGGGGUGUGGAAGUGAGAACGUGGGUGGUGAGGGUCCCGGGGAGAAAAGAGUGUGCCUCGUGGCGUUUGGAGGUGAGUGAGCAUAGGUUUUGGGGUGUAGAGGUGAGAACGUGGGUGAUGCGGCUCCAUGGGAGAAAAGGCUGCCUCGUGGAGUCUGGAGGUGAGCGAGCAUAGGUUUUAGGGUGUGGAGGUGAUUGCGCCCGGGGCCUGAGGGCGAUCUGGGAGGUAGAGUCUGAAGGUGAGGGAGUGUGAGUGAAGAGUGUGGAGGCGAGGGUGUUUGUGCGUAUGUGUGUGGGUGGAGUGGGAAACAUCUGGAGGCGAGAGUGUGAGGAAGUCUGUCUGGGGUCUGCGGGUGUGUGUUUCUUUUUUUCCUCUCCUGUAACCCAACUCUUUGGUGUCUGAGCUCCUUGGCCUUCCAGUGGGUAAUGAAUGAAGGUGACUCUUGGCUCCAGUCUUCCAUUUACAUUAUUUAUUAGCGAGAGUGCGCGUGUAGCAGCCUUCUCCUCCCCCAGGACCCCGUGGCCUGACUUGGCUGUGGCCACGGUGGAAGGUUGCCUUCCCCGGAGCAGCCCUGAGUUAGGGGACUUGGAGAGUUCCUGGAUCUGUGAUUGCUGGGGGUGCUGGUCUCUUUCCACCUGAUGGGAGCUGUGUUUCCAGACCCUUGCUUUUGGAUUUGAUGGUCCAGUAGGGUGGAGCCCACACUUGAGCAUUUCUCCCCUGUAAAGGGUGCAAAUUAGUUUUGGAGUUGUGUUACUUCAGGAGAGGGUGCCAGGGACUUGCUUGAUUUAAGCUGUUUGUUUCACCUGAAAGACGUUCUUUUCUGUGUUGUCACAGUUUUGGCCUAUCGGGACUUAGUGGGACCCUUCUUACAGGAGAGUUGGCAGGAAAAAGCUGCAUUAGACUUCACUAAAUAUGUCAACUAGAGAAAAGAAAAUGUUAUGAGGAAAAUCAUAAGGAAGGGGAAAUCUGUGUAUAAGAUCUGCAAAAAAAAUCUGUGUAUAAGUGGAUCGACACAGUUCAAAUCCUUGUUGUUCCGUGAUCAACUGUACUCUCGUUAACAACAACAAACCCGGGUCAUUACAUGUCCAGAGGUGAGUUACUGCAGUUUUAUUUUUUAUUUUUGGCAUGUGCUUCUGUAACAUGAGGUUUGUGUACUAUUAAUUUCAUUGACUGGCUUCAUGUUAGAGAGUACGUUGUCAGAAAUGGGGGUUCAGAAAGCCACCAAAUGCCUCGACACUUUCCUGGUUCUGGGAAACUCCUAAACAAGACGGUUGAGAGGGUGUGUAAUGACUCAGAUGGAGGGAAGGAGUUUUUUUGUUUGUUUUGAAUGUUUUAAUGUGUGUCUGUAGUGCUCGGGAAGUAAUAUGCUAUUGGAGUAUUAGAGGUUUCAUUUCUGAAGAAUCCAGAGUCACUGGUAUAGAAUUUCCUGAUCCCUUUAUCCCGGUGAAAUCCUCGGCCGUACCUUCUGCCAGGAAGACAGGCUUGGAAUUUGACCACCCUGUUCUUGUGACCAAGAGUGCUAUUUUAUGGGGCUGUGUUAAAACAGUUAUUUUCCUCUCCGAGAGCCCUUGAGUGAGGGCACGAAGUGUGUGAAAUCACUCAGUGUUAAGUGGAGGAUCAUUUCAGUGUGUUGGGAAAGGAAAUCGAUCACAGUGUCACUUAGAGUUGGUGGUUGGGCCAACGUUUACACAAUUCUGUUGCGUGACGCAUUCAAUCGAAGGAGGGUUUAUAGGACAUGGCUAGUUUGCAUCUUUCGUAUGUGAAACCAAAGUUCAUGAAUUUUAAAGCCGCGUCAUGCUUUUAGUAAACACCUUACAUUUUGCACUGGUGGUUCUACAGGAAGCUAAUCUUCCUGCAGAUGUGUGUCAGAGCCGAGGGCUUCAGGUGGAGGUGUUAGGAAAGGAAAACCAUAAUCCAUGACCAGAGGGCACUGGUCGACUUCACAGAGCGCUUGGUGAAGCAAGGAGUCCCCAUUUAUCCCCUAGAUUCAUGUGUCCCUCACUUCCUGUCCCUUUGACGGACUUGUUUUAACUGUACAGAAGCAAAAGUCUCUGUUUCCUGCUUCAGUAGAGCAAGGUUUUCAUUGAGGAGAGCCCCCCUCCGUCCUUUCACUGCGUGAGCUCCGGCCCCUAAGUGUGCUGCCAGAGGUGACUACGGCUCUGGCUUCAUUUCCUUCUCCUCUGGUUCCUGAUUGAUGAGCCUACUGCUCGCACUGGACCGCCUGGUGCCUCAGGACAUGAGGGCCACGUUGGACAAGAGAUUGAUGAGGCAAGGGUGCACCGGUCCUAUCGUGGGCGCGAUGAGUGUGGAAAGUCCUGUAGAGCUGAAGGACUCUCUGAGAGGGCAAAUUUGUGACCCCUUUUCAGAGACGAUAAAAUAUAAAGUAGGUGACCAGACUCUCGACCUCUCUCCUCGCCUCCCCAUUUCCAAGUCUCUGCAAAGCCACUUCUGUAAUAGCAAAACCAAAUGGUGGCUGUAGCCACCUCUUCCCUGCUGGGGUGGUCAUGGGUGGCGUUCCCUACGUGAUGGGUUUGUGGGAGGGUCAGCCUGUGGCCAGCAGCUAUUUCCUGCUCAAAUUCCCUUUGUUUGUGAAAUACCCACCAACUGCAGAGCUGGUGACGCCAGAGUACCUCCUCUUAAUUAAAUUAAUUAAUCUUUAGGGAUUAAUGAUGCACAUACCAAAUGUACCAAGAGAGCGUUAUGGGCUGUUUGUGGGCUUCCCCUCCAGGACCACUGCCACAACCAAGCAUGAGACGAAAUAGACUCAAUUAUUUUGUCUCUUCAGCCAAACCAAGAUUUGGGUAGGAGAAAUAGAUCCUCAGAUCUGCUGCUUUAAGGGAUGUUAUAGAAAGCUCAUGCUGAUUACUUUCAGAGGAGGUGGGGCUCUUGAUUCUUUUGAUCAAAACUUUUGAGUAGGUGAGCAGCUACUCUGGAAAUCAACUUUAAAUGGCCCUGUAGAUUAAUGGUCACGAGGGGCCUGGCUCUGGGCUUUGUUUAGGUUUAUGUAACCCUUGACAUAACUGGUGGGUUGUGAUCCGACGACAUGGGCUACUUUUCGCUACUUUGCCCUGAAACUGUUCACGUUUUGCCCUUCUCCUUUCUAGGAGGUUCUGCCUUUUUGGCCUUUUGUUCAUCUAGUUUCAUACUUACCACAGCUUACUUUACUUUGCGGGCCUUAUUUCCCAGUAUUCUUCCUCAAAAACCAUGCUCCUUUUCUAGUCUUCUUCCAGGGUUCGUUAAGGCCUUGCAUUUCCUGAUUAACCUUCCUCCUCACAGCUGAUCUUCCCUGCUUUGAGCACCAUCUGGACCCGGUGGUAUCCAUACCGAAGAUGACAUUACUCCCCCUGGGAACAGGCAGAUAGUGUAAAUGAGUCAAGAGGUCUUGGGUGAGACAAUAAGAGUGGUGAGGUCUGUGGUCAUUUGGAGUACCUGCAAAAUAAAUGUAGCUGAUAGCUAUCAGGCAUGCUGGCCCAGUAAUUAUUUUCAAGAGAAACUGCCAUUGUAAUUUUUUUGAUGAAACUUUUUCUCCAAAUACCGUUCAGUCAGAAACCAACAAAUUUCCCUGCAGAUCUGCCUUGGCCCAAGAGCCACCAAUUGGCAUCAUUCCCAAGAUGCUUGUCAUAUUAGAGCCUUUGGCCGUAAUUAUUUGGUUCACAGUCUCAUCUGACCCCUCGGCUGUAAAUUCCAUAAGGUCACGAACUAGAUCUUAUCCCAAUUGGUAUCAGAACUUAGCACAGUGCAGUAUACAUUAUACACAGACAUUCAGUGAAUACUUGUUGAACUUGACAUCUGUUGGGUGCUACAGGACCAAGACUUAGACCUGUAUUCGAAUUAUCCAUGGGUAAGAUGUAUGGACCUUUAAGAUACAGAAGGUCACAUAAGUCCUGUGGGAUAACAGAAGCAGGCAGAGGUGACUUCUCUCAGGUAAUGUCUUAAGCAUUAGAAUUCAGAGGUUCACACUGGUUUCUGUUGCUGAUUUUAAGGAGUAAAAGCAGUCACUCAUUGCGGGGUCCUUAUGUGGCUAGAGUGUAUUAUCUCUUCAGUUGCGUGCAAGCCUCAUGUGCAUAGAGAAUUAUCAGUGUAACAUUUUCAGAAAUUGAAGUGAU